UACGUAGGGGGCAAGCGUUGUCCGGAAUCAUUGGGCGUAAAGCGCGUGUAGGCGGCUCGGUAAGUCUGCUGUGAAAGUCCAGGGCUCAACCCUGGGAUGCCGGUGGAUACUGUCGAGCUCGAGUCCGGAAGAGGCGAGUGGAAUUCCUGGUGUAGCGGUGAAAUGCGCAGAUAUCAGGAGGAACACCAAUGGCGAAGGCAGCUCGCUGGGACGUGACUGACGCUGAGGCAUGAAAGCGUGGGGAGCAAACAGG
This 253-nucleotide ribosomal RNA is filed under the name uncultured bacterium. RNAcentral's name for it is "partial 16S ribosomal RNA". It matches the Rfam family "Bacterial small subunit ribosomal RNA", at positions 524 to 776 of the family's 1533-position model. The record is from RNAcentral.